This 22-nucleotide microRNA is filed under the name Nicotiana tabacum (common tobacco). RNAcentral describes it as "nta-miR6019a". Lineage: Eukaryota; Viridiplantae; Streptophyta; Magnoliopsida; Solanales; Solanaceae. The record is from miRBase by way of RNAcentral.
UACAGGUGACUUGUAAAUGUUU